RNAcentral lists this ribosomal RNA (408 nucleotides) under uncultured bacterium. RNAcentral describes it as "partial 16S ribosomal RNA". It matches the Rfam family "Bacterial small subunit ribosomal RNA", at positions 28 to 526 of the family's 1533-position model. The record is from RNAcentral.
GACGAACGCUGGCGGCGUGCUUAACACAUGCAAGUCGAACGAAGUGGCGAACGGGUGAGUAACGCGUAAUCAACCUGCCCUUCAGAGGGGGACAACAGUUGGAAACGACUGCUAAUACCGCAUACUGAAGGAGGGGAUUGCGUCUGAUUAGCUAGUUGGAGGGGUAACGGCCCACCAAGGCGAUGAUCAGUAGCCAGUCUGAGAGGAUUGACGGCCAAAUUGGGAAUGAGAAACGGCCCCGACUUCUACGGGGUGCAGCAGUGGGGAAUCUUCCGCAAUGGACGAAAGUCUGACGGAGCAACGGCGCGUGAGUGAUGACGGCUUUCGGGUUGUAAAACUCUGUUAAUCGGGACGCGGUACCGGAAUAGAAAGCCACGGCUAACUCCGUGCCAGCAGCCGCGGUAAUUC